UGUGUGUCCCCACCAGGAGGAAGGGGGUCUUCUGGCAGUGGUGAGUGAUUUCCGGCACCCACUGAAAGGAUAUUUGGUGUUUUAAUGAGGUUUUUGUUAAUUUAAAUGGUGAAAUGGUUGUUUUUUGGGUAGUUUAAGUGGUGAAAUGGGUGUUUUUGUUCAUUUAAAUGGUGAAAUGGGUGUUUUUCUAUUAGUUCUGGCAGUGGUGAGUGAUUUCCGGCACCCACUGAAAGGAUAUUUGGUGUUUUAAUGAGGUUUUUCGUUGGUUUGUGGGGUGAAAUGGGUGU
This is a long non-coding RNA of Portunus trituberculatus (swimming crab), 287 nucleotides long. RefSeq lists it as uncharacterized. The record is from RefSeq and is a predicted model, not a curated record. The transcript has 3 exons. NCBI's taxonomy places the organism in Eukaryota, Metazoa, Arthropoda, Malacostraca, Decapoda, Portunidae.